Molecule: ribosomal RNA, 1488 nt
Filed under: uncultured prokaryote
Description: partial 16S ribosomal RNA
Rfam family: Bacterial small subunit ribosomal RNA
Source: RNAcentral
AGAGUUUGAUCCUGGCUCAGAAUGAACGCUGGCGGCGUGCUUAACACAUGCAAGUCGAACGAGAACGGGAUUGCUUGCAAUCCUUAGUAGAGUGGCGCACGGGUGAGUAACACGUAGAUAAUCUACCUUCAAGCCUGGGAUAACUAUUCGAAAGGAUAGCUAAUACCGGAUAAAGUGAUUUGGCGACCAAAGACAGCCUCUGGUUGAAUGCUGUUGUUUGAAGAUGGGUCCGCGUACCAUUAGCUUGUUGGUGGGGUAACAGCCUACCAAGGCUGCGAUGGUUAGCUGGUCUUGAGAGAUGAUCAGCCACACUGGAACUGACACACGGUCCAGACUCCUACGGGAGGCAGCAGUGAGGAAUUUUGCGCAAUGGGGGAAACCCUGACGCAGCAACGCCGCGUGAGUGAAGAAGGCCCUUGGGUCGUAAAGCUCUGUCGACAGGGAAGAAAUUACUUACGGUACCUGUAGAGGAAGCACCGGCUAACUCCGUGCCAGCAGCCGCGGUAAUACGGAGGGGGCAAGCGUUGUUCGGAAUUAUUGGGCGUAAAGCGCGUGUAGGCGGUUAGGUAAGUCGAACGUGAAAGUCCUUGGCUCAACUGAGGAAUUGCGUUUGAUACUGCCUUACUAGAGUACGGGAGAGGAGAGUGGAAUUCCUAGUGUAGCGGUGAAAUGCGUAGAUAUUAGGAAGAACACCGGUGGCGAAGGCGGCUCUCUGGACCGUUACUGACGCUGAGACGCGAAAGCUAGGGGAGCAAACGGGAUUAGAUACCCCGGUAGUCCUAGCCGUAAACGAUGGGCACUAGGUGAAGGAGGUAUUGACCCCUUCUGUGCCGGAGCUAACGCAGUAAGUGCCCCGCCUGGGGAGUACGGUCGCAAGGCUGAAACUCAAAGGAAUUGACGGGGGCCCGCACAAGCGGUGGAGCAUGUGGUUUAAUUCGACGCAACGCGAAGAACCUUACCUGGGCUUGACAUGGACGGGAAAGCCAUAGAAAUAUGGUUUCUCUUCGGAGUCCGUGUGCAGGUGCUGCAUGGCUGUCGUCAGCUCGUGUCGUGAGAUGUUGGGUUAAGUCCCGCAACGAGCGCAACCCUUACCUUUAGUUGCCAGCGGGUAAUGCCGGGAACUCUAAAGGAACUGCCGGUGAUAAGCCGGAGAAAGGUGGGGAUGACGUCAAGUCCUCAUGGCCCUUAUGCCCAGGGCUACACACGUGCUACAAUGGCCGGUACAAAGAGUUGCGAAACCGCGAGGUCAAGCUAAUCUCAAAAAACCGGUCUCAGUUCGGAUUGGAGUCUGCAACUCGACUCCAUGAAGCUGGAAUCGCUAGUAAUCGUAGAUCAGCAUGCUACGGUGAAUACGUUCCCGGGCCUUGUACACACCGCCCGUCACACCAUGAGGGUUGAUUGUACCAGAAGUCAUCGAGCUAACCCGUAAGGGAGGCCAGUGCCUAAGGUAUGGCAGGCGAUUGGGGUGAAGUCGUAACAAGGUAACCA